Molecule: ribosomal RNA, 253 nt
Filed under: uncultured bacterium
Lineage: Bacteria
Description: partial 16S ribosomal RNA
Rfam family: Bacterial small subunit ribosomal RNA
Source: RNAcentral
GACGUAGGGUGCGAGCGUUGUCCGGAUUUAUUGGGCGUAAAGAGCUCGUAGGCGGCUCGUCGCGUCAGCUGUGAAAACCUGCAGCUUAACUGUGGGCUUGCAGCUGAUACGGGCGGGCUAGAGUUCGGUAGGGGAGACUGGAAUUCCUGGUGUAGCGGUGAAAUGCGCAGAUAUCAGGAGGAACACCGGUGGCGAAGGCGGGUCUCUGGGCCGAUACUGACGCUGAGGAGCGAAAGCGUGGGGAGCGAACAGG